This is a long non-coding RNA of Biomphalaria glabrata, 413 nucleotides long. RefSeq lists it as uncharacterized. Lineage: Eukaryota; Metazoa; Mollusca; Gastropoda; Planorbidae. The transcript is spliced from 3 exons. The record is from RefSeq and is a predicted model, not a curated record.
AAAACAAAAGUUUUAGACGAAAUGAGGGCUAAAGAAACUGAUGCGAUUGAAAAGGAAUUGGAGAAACCCACAAUCAAACUAAAUACCAAGCUACUUCAAUUGUUGAAUGUUAUUUCUGACUUUGCGCAGACGACCUCUAUCAAUGGCAUUGUUUUUAUCUGUAAUUCAACCGUGUUUCUUUAAGAAUAAUUUGGAUAGUAAUUUUUCUUCUCGGAGUUGCAGGUUUGAGUUAUCAUUCUUAUGGAUUGAUAUCAGAUUAUUUGAGUUACAAGACUAAAGUCACUGUCGAUCACAUCUACACAGAGAAAUUUCCACCGUUUGCGAUAACUUUUUGCAACCACAAUGCAAUUCGAUUGUCCAAGUUGCAUAAAAUAGAAAAACUACAACUCUGGGAAAGCGCCAUAAGAAAGAAA